RNAcentral lists this ribosomal RNA (253 nucleotides) under uncultured bacterium. RNAcentral describes it as "partial 16S ribosomal RNA". It matches the Rfam family "Archaeal small subunit ribosomal RNA", at positions 474 to 727 of the family's 1478-position model. The record is from RNAcentral.
UACCAGCACCCCGAGUGGUCGGGACGAUUAUUGGGCCUAAAGCAUCCGUAGCCGGUCCUACAAGUCUUCCGUUAAAUCCAGCUGCUCAACAGAUGGGCUGCGGAAGAUACUAUAGGGCUAGGAGGCGGGAGAGGCAAGCGGUACUCAGUGGGUAGGGGUAAAAUCCGUUGAUCCAUUGAAGACCACCAGUGGCGAAGGCGGCUUGCCAGAAUGCGCUCGACGGUGAGGGAUGAAAGCUGGGGGAGCAAACCGG